GACGAACGCUGGCGGCGUGCUUAACACAUGCAAGUCGAACGGAAAGGCCCUGCUUUUGUGGGGUGCUCGAGUGGCGAACGGGUGAGUAACACGUGAGUAACCUGCCCUUGACUUUGGGAUAACUUCAGGAAACUGUGGCUAAUACCGGAUAGGAGCUCCUGCUGCAUGGUGGGGGUUGGAACGUUUCGGCGGUUGGGGAUGGACUCGCGGCUUAUCAGCUUGUUGGUGGGGUAGUGGCUUACCAAGGCUUUGACGGGUAGCCGGCCUGAGAGGGUGACCGGCCACAUUGGGACGGAGAUACGGCCCAGACGCCGACGGGAGGCAGCAGUGGGGAAUAGUGCAGAAGGGGCGGAAGAGUGAUGCAGCAACGCCGCGUGAGGGAUGAGGGCCUGAGGGUUGUAAACGGUGAGCGCCUGUGACGAAGCGUGAGAGACGGUAAUGGGUAAAGAAGAAAAGGCUAAGUACGUG
RNAcentral lists this ribosomal RNA (468 nucleotides) under uncultured bacterium. Its description in RNAcentral is "partial 16S ribosomal RNA". It matches the Rfam family "Bacterial small subunit ribosomal RNA", at positions 28 to 507 of the family's 1533-position model. The record is from RNAcentral.